This 467-nucleotide ribosomal RNA is filed under the name uncultured bacterium. Its description in RNAcentral is "bacterial SSU rRNA". It matches the Rfam family "Bacterial small subunit ribosomal RNA", at positions 28 to 524 of the family's 1533-position model. The record is from RNAcentral.
GAUGAACGCUGGCGGCGUGCCUUAGGCAUGCAAGUAGAACGAGAACUAGUAGCAAUACUAGUUAGAGUUGCGAACGGCUGAGUAACACGUAAGAACCUGCCUCUUGGAGGGGAAUACCUCGUCGAAAGACGGGUUAAUACCGCAUAAGAUCGUAAGAUGAAAGCUUUUGUAGUAAUACAACGGCGCCGAGAGAGGGGCUUGCGGCCCAUCAGCUAGUUGGUAGGGUAAAAGCCUACCAAGGCUACGACGGGUAGGGGCGUGAGAGCGCGUUCCCCCAGAAUGGCACUGAGAUACGGGCCAUACACCUACGGGUGGCAGCAACCGGGAAUUGUACGCAAUGGACGAAAGUCUGACGUCGCGACGCCGCGUGAGGGAUGAAGGCCUUAGGGUUGUAAACCUCUUUUGCCGAGUGGGAGACCACUCGGAGAAUAAGUACUUGCUAACUCUGUGCCAGCAGCCGCGGUAAU